UUUGACACGCGGGCUCCUAAUUGCUAGGGAGCUCUUUUUAUAAAAAAAAAAAAACAAAACAAAAACAAAAUGGUAUAGCUGGGUGACUACAUUCGGGUUUUUUUUUUUCUAAAAAAAUAGUAUAGCCGUGCGGCUAUAUUGAUUUUGUCACACGGGGGAGAGUUCUUUUUAAAAAAAAAUAUGUAUAGCCGCUUUUUUAAAAAAAUAUAUGUAUAGCCGUGCGGCUAUACAUAUUUUGACACGUAAUCGCCAGACAAGUCGUUUUUUUGAAUAAAUAGUAUAGCCGUGCGGCUGUAUGUCUUAGUAUAGCCGGUCGGCUAUACCUUUUUUGACACGUGGUCAACUAGCCGCUAUGCGGCAAACUUUUUUUUUCAUAAAUAGUAUAGCCGCGCGGCUAUACUCUAUUUUUUAUGAAAAAAUAUGAUAGCCGCCGGGCUCUAUUGGGGUUUUUUGGUUUUUAUUUAUUUUUAAUAAAUAGUAUAUUUAUGCGGCUAUACGAUAUAUAUAUAUAUUGGGAUCCUUUUUUUUUCUUUUAAAUUUUUUCUCCUAUUUUCGUUUAUCGAUAAGAGUAUUUUAGAGUAUUAUCCAUUACUAUUAGGCUAUUACCCGAGUUUUUAUUGUCUCCUUUUAAUUUUUUACUUUUCAAAAGUUAUUACCCGUAUAAAGAAUUUAACACUUUCUCGUUUAAUACUCUAUUAUAUAUGUAUGUACGUAUUUUUCAAUAAUACAUCUUUGUUCUGUACACAUCUUAAAGACUCAUGAAGAAUUAAUGACCCAACUCAUAUAUUUGGUCACUGGUUUGACACUAGUUGUGACCAAUCAUGAUUUGGUCACUGCUGACCUUUUUUCUUGUAGUGAUUUAUAUCCCCAACAGAAGACAACUAAUCCAUCAAUCGGUAAGAAAAUCAAUGCGAAGUGAGAUAUUGAUAUCCUUGCAUCCAAGGUCAUGUGUAUGAAUACCCCUCUACCAAUAUCGCUUGUAUUAAAAAAAAAAAUCAAAAUCAAAAUCAAAGGCCUUCAUUGUUGAGCCUUCUGGCCCAUACAUACUUCUUCUUUAGGCUUAGAAUUCAUACCACGGGCUGAGAAUCGUUUAUUACUGCCCAGUACUGAGAUUGAGCUCAGGAAAGGAAGUAGGAAGAAAGAGACUCAAAGUUGAAAGCUUGAAUGGCGUGCCUUGUUGUGUCCAUGACCCUCUCCGUACCUCUCUCAGCCUCACAUUGCUUCACAAAGGUAAGUUCACAUUUACCAAACUUGUCGUCAACAAAAAAAGCCCCCAGCUUUUAUCCUUGAGGUUGAGCUGCUGAAACAAUCUUAGAAAACUUGGGAUUUGAAAGCAGGAGUGGGAAUAUGCUUCAGGAACAGUUGGAAACUUGGCAUUGGCUGCUUUGCGUAGUGCAGAUCAGGUGCACAAAGUUGUUGACUUUGAGAGAUACCUGAGGAGCACUCUCUCGUCAGAGUUCUAAACAUACCAUUUCAGAGCUAGUUUCCUUAAUGCAAUAGAUUCUUGGGUAUAAAUUCCUUGCAAUCUACAUACAAUUGUGAUGCAAACUUCAUUGACUCAGCGAUAGCAGUACAAACAUUUGUGAAAAUCAUAUAUAAUAAA
This is a long non-coding RNA of Prunus persica (peach), 1603 nucleotides long. RefSeq lists it as uncharacterized. The transcript has 3 exons. The record is from RefSeq and is a predicted model, not a curated record. NCBI's taxonomy places the organism in Eukaryota, Viridiplantae, Streptophyta, Magnoliopsida, Rosales, Rosaceae.